GCGGCGUGCUUAACACAUGCAAGUCGAACGGAAAGGCCCUGCUUUUGUGGGGUGCUCGAGUGGCGAACGGGUGAGUAACACGUGAGUAACCUGCCCUUGACUUUGGGAUAACUUCAGGAAACUGGGGCUAAUACCGGAUAGGAGCUCCUGCUGCAUGGUGGGGGUUGGAAAGUUUCGGCGGUUGGGGAUGGACUCGCGGCUUAUCAGCUUGUUGGUGGGGUAGUGGCUUACCAAGGCUUUGACGGGUAGCCGGCCUGAGAGGGUGACCGGCCACAUUGGGACUGAGAUACGGCCCAGACUCCUACGGGAGGCAGCAGUGGGGAAUAUUGCACAAUGGGCGGAAGCCUGAUGCAGCAACGCCGCGUGCGGGAUGACGGCCUUCGGGUUGUAAACCGCUUUCGCCUGUGACGAAGCGUGAGUGACGGUAAUGGGUAAAGAAGCACCGGCUAACUACGUGCCAGCAGCCGCGGUGAUACGUAGGGUGCGAGCGUUGUCCGGAUUUAUUGGGCGUAAAGGGCUCGUAGGUGGUUGAUCGCGUCGGAAGUGUAAUCUUGGGGCUUAACCCUGAGCGUGCUUUCGAUACGGGUUGACUUGAGGAAGGUAGGGGAGAAUGGAAUUCCUGGUGGAGCGGUGGAAUGCGCAGAUAUCAGGAGGAACACCAGUGGCGAAGGCGGUUCUCUGGGCCUUUCCUGACGCUGAGGAGCGAAAGCGUGGGGAGCGAACAGGCUUAGAUACCCUGGUAGUCCACGCUGUAAACGGUGGGUACUAGGUGUGGGGUCCAUUCCACGGGUUCCGUGCCGUAGCUAACGCUUUAAGUACCCCGCCUGGGGAGUACGGCCGCAAGGCUAAAACUCAAAGGAAUUGACGGGGCCCCGCACAAGCGGCGGAGCAUGCGGAUUAAUUCGAUGCAACGCGUAGAACCUUACCUGGGUUUGACAUGGAUCGGGAGUGCUCAGAGAUGGGUGUGCCUCUUUUGGGGUCGGUUCACAGGUGGUGCAUGGCUGUCGUCAGCUCGUGUCGUGAGAUGUUGGGUUAAGUCCCGCAACGAGCGCAACCCUUGUUCACUGUUGCCAGCACGUUAUGGUGGGGACUCAGUGGAGACCGCCGGGGUCAACUCGGAGGAAGGUGGGGAUGACGUCAAGUCAUCAUGCCCCUUAUGUCCAGGGCUUCACGCAUGCUACAAUGGCUGGUACAGAGAGUGGCGAGCCUGUGAGGGUGAGCGAAUCUCGGAAAGCCGGUCUCAGUUCGGAUUGGGGUCUGCAACUCGACCUCAUGAAGUCGGAGUCGCUAGUAAUCGCAGAUCAGCAACGCUGCGGUGAAUACGUUCCCGGGGCUUGUACACACCGCCCGUCAAGUCAUGAAAGUUGGUAACACCCGAAGCCGGUGGCCUAACCGUUGUGGGGGAGCCGUCGAAGGUGGGACUGGUGAUUAGGACUAAGUCAUAAC
RNAcentral lists this ribosomal RNA (1446 nucleotides) under uncultured organism. Its description in RNAcentral is "16S ribosomal RNA". It matches the Rfam family "Bacterial small subunit ribosomal RNA". The record is from RNAcentral.